CAGCCAUGCGUCAAGAAAAGCCGCUAUUGUUUAUACCGUACCCGUACCGUAAACCGACACAGGUGGAUGAGGAGAGAAUCCUAAGCCGGCGGAAGAAGCAUUGUCAAGGAACUCGGCAAAAUGGCCCCGUAACUUAGGGAUAAGGGGUGCCUGGGAAACCAGGCCGCAGAGAAUAGGCUCAAGCAACUGUUUAGCAAAAACACAGGUCUAUGCGAAACCGAAAGGUGAGGUAUAUGGGCUGACGCCUGCCCGGUGCUGGAAGGUUAAGAGGAGAGGUUAGCGCAAGCGAAGCUUUGAAUUUAAGCCCCAGUAAACGGCGGCCGUAACGAUAACGGUCCUAAGGUAGCGAAAUUCCUUGUCGGGUAAGUUCCGACCCGCACGAAAGGCGUAAUGAUUUGAGCGCUGUCUCGACAAUGCAUACGGUGAAAUUGAAGUACCAGUGAAGAUGCUGGUUACCUGCGCCAGGACGGAAAGACCCCAUGGAGCUUUACUCCAGUCUGGUACUGGGACUCGGUAUUGCAUGUACAGGAUAGGUGGGAGGCUAGGAUACAGUAACGCCAGUUAUUAUGGAGCCGCUGUUGGGAUACCACCCUUGCAGUAUUGGGUUUCUAACCAGCCGCCGUGACCCGGCGGUGGGACAAUGCCAGACGGGGAGUUUGACUGGGGCGGUCGCCUCCGAAAGGGUAUCGGAGGCGCCCAAAGGUUCCCUCAGAAUGGACGGAAACCAUUCGAAGAGUGCAAAGGCAGAAGGGAGCUUGACUGCGACACCGACGGGUGGAGCAGGUACGAAAGUAGGGCUUAGUGAUCCGGUGGUAUUAAGUGGGAAUGCCAUCGCUCAACGGAUAAAAGCUACCCUGGGAUAACAGGCUUAUCACUCCCAAGAGUUCACAUCGACGGAGUGGUUUGGCACUUCGAUGUCGGCUCAUCGCAUCCUGGGGCUGUAGUAGGUCCCAAGGGUUGGGCUGUUCGCCCAUUAAAGCGGUACGCGAGCUGGGUUCAGAACGUCGUGAGACAGUUCGGUCCCUAUCCGGCGUGGGCGUAGGAUAUCUGAGAGGAGCUGUCCUUAGUACGAGAGGACCGGGAUGGACGGGCCGCUGGUGCAUCGGUUAGACUGCCAAGUCUACGGCCGAGUAGCCAAGCCCGGAAGGGAUAAACGCUGAAGGCAUCUAAGCGUGAAGCCCCCCUUAAGAUGAGAUAUCCCAUUCGUUAAGAAGUAAACCCCCUUGAAGACGACGAGGUAGAUAGGGCAGAGGUGGAAGUGCAGCAAUGCAUGGAGCUGACUGUUACUAAUCGGGUGAGGGCUUGACC
Molecule: ribosomal RNA, 1308 nt
Filed under: metagenome
Description: bacterial LSU rRNA
Rfam family: Bacterial large subunit ribosomal RNA
Source: RNAcentral